AAUCUCCCAGAUACAACUAGAUGACGAGUCAUCAAACCUGACCACGUUUGCCACACUGUUUGGCAGAUUUAAAUUUCUCAGGAUGCCAUUCGGCAUCAACUCGGCCAGCGAAGUCUUCCAGAGAAACAUGGAACAGCUGUUCCAAGGACUCCCGUG
Long non-coding RNA from Amblyraja radiata (thorny skate), 156 nucleotides. RefSeq lists it as uncharacterized. Lineage: Eukaryota; Metazoa; Chordata; Chondrichthyes; Rajiformes; Rajidae. The transcript has 3 exons. The record is from RefSeq and is a predicted model, not a curated record.